UCAUUUAUUUUAAUAGUGCCAAUUCUAUUCAAGUUUACAGAGAUAUGCAUUUUCUUUGUUCUAAUCAGUCUGGCCCAGCAGGGAGUGGCUCCCCAAAAUGCCAAGACA
Long non-coding RNA from Sander lucioperca (pikeperch), 108 nucleotides. RefSeq lists it as uncharacterized. The record is from RefSeq and is a predicted model, not a curated record. The transcript has 3 exons. Lineage: Eukaryota; Metazoa; Chordata; Actinopteri; Perciformes; Percidae.